Molecule: ribosomal RNA, 412 nt
Filed under: uncultured bacterium
Lineage: Bacteria
Description: bacterial SSU rRNA
Rfam family: Bacterial small subunit ribosomal RNA
Source: RNAcentral
CGCCUAACACAUGCAAGUCGAACGAAGUAGCAAUACUUAGUGGCAGACGGGUGAGUAACAUGUAGGUAUCUGCCAUUUGUCCUUGAAUAACACGAGGAAACUUGAGCUAUUACCGGAUAAGUCUUUACGGAAAAAGCUUUAUGCUCCAUUGGAUGAGCCUGCACUUGAUUAGUAUGUUGGGUGGGUAAUGGCCUACCAAGACUGUGAUCAAUAGCUGAUUUGAGAGGAUGAUCAGCCACAUUGGGACUGAGACACGGCCCAAACUUCUACGGGAGGCAGCAGUGGGGAAUCUUGCACAAUGGAGGAAACUCUGAUGCAGCGAUGCCGCGUGAGUAAAGAAGGCCCUUGGGUUGUAAAGCUCUUUCGUCGGGGAAGAAAAUGACUGUACCCGAAUAAGAAGGUCCGGCAAACU